Molecule: ribosomal RNA, 491 nt
Filed under: uncultured bacterium
Lineage: Bacteria
Description: bacterial SSU rRNA
Rfam family: Bacterial small subunit ribosomal RNA
Source: RNAcentral
CUGGCGGCGGCCUACACAUGCAAGUCGAGCGGUUGAGGGAAGCUUGCUUCCUGAUUCAGCGGCGGACGGGUGAGUAAUGCCUAGGAAUCUGCCUGGUAGUGGGGGACAACGUUUCGAAAGGAACGCUAAUACCGCAUACGUCCUACGGGAGAAAGCAGGGGACCUUCGGGCCUUGCGCUAUCAGAUGAGCCUAGGUCGGAUUAGCUAGUUGGUGAGGUAAUGGCUCACCAAGGCGACGAUCCGUAACUGGUCUGAGAGGAUGAUCAGUCACACUGGAACUGAGACACGGUCCAGACUCCUACGGGAGGCAGCAGUGGGGAAUAUUGGACAAUGGGCGAAAGCCUGAUCCAGCCAUGCCGCGUGUGUGAAGAAGGUCUUCGGAUUGUAAAGCACUUUAAGUUGGGAGGAAGGGCAGUCAGCGAAUACCUUGCUGUCUUGACGUUACCGACAGAAUAAGCACCGGCUAACUCUGUGCCAGCAGCCGCGGUAAU